This 654-nucleotide ribosomal RNA is filed under the name Sarcocystis hjorti. RNAcentral's name for it is "SSU rRNA". It matches the Rfam family "Eukaryotic small subunit ribosomal RNA", at positions 455 to 1077 of the family's 1831-position model. Lineage: Eukaryota; Apicomplexa; Conoidasida; Eucoccidiorida; Sarcocystidae. The record is from RNAcentral.
CUCAGGGAGGUAGUGACAAGAAAUAACAACACUGGAAAUUUUAUUUCUAGUGAUUGGAAUGAUGGGAAUUUAAACCCCUUUCAGAGUAACAAUUGGAGGGCAAGUCUGGUGCCAGCAGCCGCGGUAAUUCCAGCUCCAAUAGCGUAUAUUAAAGUUGUUACAGUUAAAAAGCUCGUAGUUGGAUGUCUGCUGGAAGCAAUCAGUCCGCCCUAUUUGUAGGGUGUGCACUUGAUGAAUUCUGGCAUCUAUGUCCUAAUGUGAUAGAUACGGCGGUGUAUAUGGGUUAAUCCUAUAUACCCGUUUUUGUAUAUUAUAUUGGGAUAAUACCGUUACUUUGAGAAAAUUAGAGUGUUUGAAGCAGGCUAAUUGCCUUGAACACUGCAGCAUGGAAUAACAAUAUAGGAUUUCGGUUCUAUUUUGUUGGUUUCUAGGACUGAAAUAAUGAUUAAUAGGGACAGUUGGGGGCAUUCGUAUUUAACUGUCAGAGGUGAAAUUCUUAGAUUUGUUAAAGACGAACUACUGCGAAAGCAUUUGCCAAGGAUGUUUUCAUUAAUCAAGAACGAAAGUUAGGGGCUCGAAGACGAUCAGAUACCGUCGUAGUCUUAACCAUAAACUAUGCCGACUAGAGAUAGGAAAAUGUCAUUUUUCUGACUU